RNAcentral lists this ribosomal RNA (826 nucleotides) under Xanthomonas prunicola. Its description in RNAcentral is "partial 23S ribosomal RNA". It matches the Rfam family "Bacterial large subunit ribosomal RNA", at positions 2112 to 2925 of the family's 2925-position model. The record is from RNAcentral. Lineage: Bacteria; Pseudomonadati; Pseudomonadota; Gammaproteobacteria; Lysobacterales; Lysobacteraceae.
UUACACUGAACGUUGAGUUCGUCUGUGUAGGAUAGGUGGGAGGCUAUGAAACUGUGGCGCUAGCUGCAGUGGAGCCAUCCUUGAAAUACCACCCUGUCGUGCUUGACGUUCUAACCUAGGUCCGUUAUCCGGAUCAGGGACCGUGUAUGGUGGGUAGUUUGACUGGGGCGGUCUCCUCCUAAAGAGUAACGGAGGAGCACGAAGGUACGCUCAGCGCGGUCGGACAUCGCGCACUGUGUGCAAAGGCAUAAGCGUGCUUGACUGCAAGAUCGACGGAUCAAGCAGGUACGAAAGUAGGUCUUAGUGAUCCGGUGGUUCUGUAUGGAAGGGCCAUCGCUCAACGGAUAAAAGGUACUCCGGGGAUAACAGGCUGAUACCGCCCAAGAGUUCAUAUCGACGGCGGUGUUUGGCACCUCGAUGUCGGCUCAUCACAUCCUGGGGCUGUAGUCGGUCCCAAGGGUAUGGCUGUUCGCCAUUUAAAGUGGUACGCGAGCUGGGUUCAGAACGUCGUGAGACAGUUCGGUCCCUAUCUGCCAUGGGCGUUGGAAGUUUGAGAGGGGCUGCUCCUAGUACGAGAGGACCGGAGUGGACGAACCUCUGGUGUUCCGGUUGUCACGCCAGUGGCAUUGCCGGGUAGCUAUGUUCGGAAGCGAUAACCGCUGAAAGCAUCUAAGCGGGAAGCGCGCCUCAAGAUGAGACUUCCCGGGGCACAAGCCCCCUAAAGGAACCAUGUAGACUACGUGGUUGAUAGGUCAGGUGUGUAAGUACAGCAAUGUAUUGAGCUAACUGAUACUAAUGAUCCGUGCGGCUUGACCAUAUAACCUCA